This 500-nucleotide ribosomal RNA is filed under the name uncultured Acidobacteriota bacterium. RNAcentral's name for it is "bacterial SSU rRNA". It matches the Rfam family "Bacterial small subunit ribosomal RNA", at positions 13 to 529 of the family's 1533-position model. The record is from RNAcentral. Lineage: Bacteria; Pseudomonadati; Acidobacteriota.
UUGAUCCUGGCUCAGAAUCAACGCUGGCGGCGUGCCUAACACAUGCAAGUCGAACGAGAAAGUGGAGCAAUCCAUGAGUAAAGUGGCGACCGGGUGAGUUACACGUGACCAAUCUACCCUUGAGUGGGGGAUAACCUCGGGAAACCGGGUCUAAUACCGCAUAACAUCCCCGGAUCGGAAGAACUGGGGAUCAAAGGAGUAAUUCGCUUAAGGAGGAGGUCGCGGCUGAUUAGCUAGUUGGCGGGGUAAUGGCCCACCAAGGCAAAGAUCGGUAGCCGGCCUGAGAGGGCGCACGGCCAUACUGGAACUGAAACACGGUCCAGACUCCUACGGGAGGCAGCAGUGGGGAUUUUUGCGCAAUGGGGGAAACCCUGACGCAGCAACGCCGCGUGGAGGAUGUAGUCCCUUGGGACGUAAACUCCUUUCGACCCGGACGAUAAUGACGGUACUGGUGGAAGAAGCCCCGGCUAACUUCGUGCCAGCAGCCGCGGUAAUAAGGU